AUGAACGCUUGCGGCGUGCCUAAUCCCUGCCAGUCGCGCGAACAGACGAGGAGCUUGCUCCUUUGACGUUAGCGGCGGACGGGUGAGUAACACGUAGGUAACCUACCUAUAAGACUGGGAUAACUUCGGGAAACCGGAGCUAAUACCGGAUAAUAUUUCGAACCGCAUGGUUCGAUAGUGAAAGAUGGCUUUGCUAUCACUUAUAGAUGGACCUGCGCCGUAUUAGCUAGUUGGUAAGGUAACGGCUUACCAAGGCAACGAUACGUAGCCGACCUGAGAGGGUGAUCGGCCACACUGGAACUGAGACACGGUCCAGACUCCUACGGGAGGCAGCAGUAGGGAAUCUUCCGCAAUGGGCGAAAGCCUGACGGAGCAACGCCGCGUGAGUGAUGAAGGUCUUCGGAUCGUAAAACUCUGUUAUUAGGGAAGAACAAACGUGUAAGUAACUGUGCACGUCUUGACGGUACCUAAUCAGAAAGCCACGGCUAACUACGUG
This 496-nucleotide ribosomal RNA is filed under the name uncultured bacterium. RNAcentral describes it as "partial 16S ribosomal RNA". It matches the Rfam family "Bacterial small subunit ribosomal RNA", at positions 29 to 507 of the family's 1533-position model. The record is from RNAcentral.